Molecule: ribosomal RNA, 253 nt
Filed under: uncultured bacterium
Lineage: Bacteria
Description: partial 16S ribosomal RNA
Rfam family: Bacterial small subunit ribosomal RNA
Source: RNAcentral
UACAGAGGUCUCGAGCGUUAGGCGGAAUCACUGGGCUUAAAGCGUGUGUAGGCGGAUCGGUAAGUACCUUGUGAAAUCCCACAGCUUAACUGUGGAACUGCUUGGUAUACUGCCAGUCUUGAGCCAGCUAGGGGCUACCGGAACAAAUGGUGGAGCGGUGAAAUGCGUAGAUAUCGCUUGGAACGCCAAUGGUGAAAACAGGUAGCUGGGGGUGUGCUGACACUGAGACACGAAAGCCAGGGGAGCAAACGGG